Molecule: small nuclear RNA, 53 nt
Filed under: Octodon degus (degu)
Lineage: Eukaryota; Metazoa; Chordata; Mammalia; Rodentia; Octodontidae
Source: RNAcentral
GUGUUCGCUUCGGCAGCACAUAUACGAAAAUUGGAACGAUACAGAGAAGAUUA